AAUCCAUAUUGAUGUCCCAUAACUAACAAUGUGGAAACACAAAAAUGAGAAACCAAGAACAAUCUAAGAUCCCAACUGAAUCUCAGAAGAACGUGUCUGCAAACAUCAAUUCCUUGGGUGUAUAGUGAUGGUUCCCAAAAAAAGAAAAAGAACAGAAAACUGAGAGCACAAGUCAAACAAGAAAAAGCUUUCUGAAACAAAAGAAGAUUAAGAGCUUAAAAUCAGCUCAAAGUCCACAUGCCAUUCAACUUUGUGGUAGUCUCAAAGUUCUCUCUCUCUCUCUCCAACGCAUGGCUCACUCUCCCUAAAAUUUCAAACAAAUCCUUCAUAAAUCCAUUAUCUUGUAAAAAUAGAGUGUUUGUGAACUUCAUAGUUGCCAAAGGUGCACAGAAUCCUUAAACCGCUACGUAGAAGAGAUCCACCUCAUCCAAAAGCAAAUUUACUGAAACUUGUAUAAUUAUGCCACUUUAUAACUAGAAAUAAUUGCAUAAAAAAGCAUUAAAAAAAUUAUUGACAAAAUGAGUACUAAAAAGAAGAUUAACAACUGAAACUGUUCAAAACAAGUAAUGUGCACACUUUAGUUCAAAGAAAUCAUCCAACACAACCUACCUUCAAGGUAAAUCAAUACAACAGAAAAGAUAACUAUCAACUACUAAAAUUAUCUUGCAAAAACUAUGUGCACAACUGCGUAAUAUAUAUAUAAGCAACCACCAAAAGACAUGCUCUCAAAAAGAUCAUAAUAACAACCCUAAAAUCUACUCCAUAAGCCAUUCCUAGAAAAACAAUAGUAAUGUUUAUCAUCGUCAUGUUAAAUAUCAUUUUCUUCUUAUUUCCCUUUAUUAGAGUUUACAUCCUCUCUGUCUUCUUUCUUUUCAUCCAUCUUCUGUUUAUAUCCCUCUUCCUCAUCUACAAUAUCUAAAAGAGUAGCUCCAGACAGAGAAGAACUUGCUUACGUUUGUUGGUACUCUAAACAAUCAAUAUCGCUGGAAGACAGGCAACUUUGAUUUGGUAUUAGAACACCACAAUGAAUUCUGACAUUCGCCUCACAAGAGUUGAUUCUAUGUAAUGUAAUCACAUUUACUUUAUUAUCAUUGAUACUUAGAUGGUAUAAUCCAAUGGUUUUAAACCCAAAUUACAGGCAUAAAAUAAAAACUCAUAAAACUAAUAGAAAGUACCAUUCAAAGGGAAAAAAAAGCCCACUAACACGAAUGCCAAGGUGCAAACACAAGGCAUGUGCCUCAAGGACAGAGCCUUGCUUGAACCACCCUAGGCGUGUGACCUACGGCUUGUGUGGACCUAGAGCCAGCAUACAACUAUCAUAAAAUUCAACAUGCAUGGGAAAGAAUACCCGAAAGUCAUACCAUAUUCAAAAUGCCAUCCUAGUCUAGUCUGGUCAUGAACAAACACUAUGCUCAUGCAAGGACCAGAUAUGUGCAGCUUAAGAGUCCAACUCUAACAACACAUCUCAAUGUUACAACACUAAUAUGGCAUGUAUCAUAAAUCUAAACUCUCUUCAUUAUCCAGAAAUUUUCAUUUUAAAAUAACCUAAUAGCAAGUAGUCAGAUCAAUUCUUUCAAUUCUUUUGCCAAAAUGGCUACAAGCAAGGUGGUAAUUUUGGUCAUGACCACUUGGCAAAAGACAAUGUUAUUAUUUAUCAUCAUAAAAAUUUAAAAAUCAACACUAAUUUGUCCUUGAAUCAUAUAACUUGGCUACCAUAUAGUAGGCUGAUAUUCAUAUAAAUAUGAGACUCCAUGAUCAACAACAAAUGUGAUCCAAAUGAAUUGCAAAUAAAGCAGCCCGAACCUUGAGAGUCAUGUAGUCACGACUAAGUAUGUGUCGUCCAUCCUUAGCGAAUUUAAUAUCUGAGAUUGAAGCA
Molecule: unclassified non-coding RNA, 1876 nt
Filed under: Hevea brasiliensis (rubber tree)
Lineage: Eukaryota; Viridiplantae; Streptophyta; Magnoliopsida; Malpighiales; Euphorbiaceae
Source: RNAcentral